RNAcentral lists this ribosomal RNA (279 nucleotides) under uncultured bacterium. RNAcentral's name for it is "partial 16S ribosomal RNA". It matches the Rfam family "Bacterial small subunit ribosomal RNA", at positions 506 to 784 of the family's 1533-position model. The record is from RNAcentral.
UGCCAGCCGCCGCGGUAAUACGGAGGGUGCAAGCGUUGCUCGGAAUCACUGGGCGUAAAGCGCACGCAGGCGGCUUUUCAAGUCGGAUGUGAAAGCCCCGGGCUCAACCCGGGAACUGCAUUCGAAACUGGGAGGCUUGAGUUCGAGAGAGGGUGGUGGAAUUCCUGGUGUAGAGGUGAAAUUCGUUGAUAUCAGGAGGAACAUCGGCGGCGAAGGCGGCCACCUGGCUCGAUACUGACGCUCAUGUGCGAAAGCGUGGGGAGCAAACAGGAUUAGAUA